RNAcentral lists this ribosomal RNA (814 nucleotides) under uncultured bacterium. RNAcentral's name for it is "bacterial SSU rRNA". It matches the Rfam family "Bacterial small subunit ribosomal RNA", at positions 8 to 796 of the family's 1533-position model. The record is from RNAcentral.
AGAGUUUGAUCAUGGCUCAGAACGAACGCUGGCGGCGUGCUUAACACAUGCAAGUCGAACGCGAAAGGUUCUUUCGGGAACCGAGUAGAGUGGCGCACGGGUGAGUAACGCGUAAGUAAUCUCCCCCUGUAUCUGGAAUAACCUACCGAAAGGUGAGCUAAUACCGGAUACGUUCAGAUUGAUGCGAAUCGAUUUGAAGAAAGGUGGCCUCUUCAUGAAAGCUACUGUACAGGGAUGAGCUUGCGUACCAUUAGCUAGUUGGCAGGGUAAUGGCCUACCAAGGCAACGAUGGUUAGCGGGUCUGAGAGGAUGAUCCGCCACACUGGAACUGAAACACGGACCAGACUCCUACGGGAGGCAGCAGUGAGGAAUAUUGCGCAAUGGGGGAAACCCUGACGCAGCGACGCCGCGUGGAUGAUGAAGGCCCUUGGGUCGUAAAAUCCUGUCAGAUGGAAAGAAAUGCAUAAUGGUUAAUACCUGUUAUGUUUGACGGUACCAUCAAAGGAAGCACCGGCUAACUCCGUGCCAGCAGCCGCGGUAAUACGGAGGGUGCAAGCGUUGUUCGGAAUUACUGGGCGUAAAGCGCGCGUAGGCGGUUUGUCAAGUCAGAUGUGAAAGUCCAUGGCUCAACCGUGGAAGUGCAUUUGAAACUGGCAGACUUGAGUAUUGGAGGGGGUGGUGGAAUUCCCGGUGUAGAGGUGAAAUUCGUAGAUAUCGGGAGGAAUACCGGUGGCGAAGGCGACCACCUGGCCAGAUACUGACGCUGAGGUGCGAAAGCGUGGGGAGCAAACAGGAUUAGAUACCCUAGUAGUCC